RNAcentral lists this microRNA precursor (131 nucleotides) under Hordeum vulgare. RNAcentral describes it as "microRNA MIR1122". It matches the Rfam family "MIR1120/MIR1122 microRNA precursor family". Lineage: Eukaryota; Viridiplantae; Streptophyta; Magnoliopsida; Poales; Poaceae. The record is from RNAcentral.
CAUCUACUCCUUCCGUCUCAAAAUUCUUGUUUUAGAUUUAUCUAAAUAUGAAUGUAUCUAGUCACAUUUUAGUAUUUAGAUACAUUUAUUUUUACACAAAGACAAUAAUUUUAAGACGGAGGGAGCAGAUG